AGCUGAACCUGCCGGUGAAGGUCCCACAUCCAGGACUGAGGCUCUGGGAGAUGCUGAGGGUCCUCCAAAAGGAAAGACCGAAGUUUUUGCCGCCAAAAAGUCUCAUGACUCAGAUGAAUUCCUGAGACAAACACAGAAGGAAGCACCCGGAGGACAAGUGAUGGACCAAAAGGCUGUUCAGGAGGAGGAACACUCAGGGAGAAGCAGUGGCUCACUGGCAGCCCCUGCUGCAGGAAGGAAGGCGAUGCCAGACACGGGCACAG
This is a long non-coding RNA of Passer domesticus (house sparrow), 263 nucleotides long. RefSeq lists it as uncharacterized. The transcript is spliced from 3 exons. NCBI's taxonomy places the organism in Eukaryota, Metazoa, Chordata, Aves, Passeriformes, Passeridae. The record is from RefSeq and is a predicted model, not a curated record.